Molecule: long non-coding RNA, 789 nt
Filed under: Glycine max (soybean)
Lineage: Eukaryota; Viridiplantae; Streptophyta; Magnoliopsida; Fabales; Fabaceae
Description: long non-coding RNA (GMAX_LNC003488)
Source: RNAcentral
UUUACUUAAAGUUCCAUCACCAUUUCACCAUGACACUUUCUCGCAUACCAGAUAACUCAAGCAAAACGAAAAUACCCACACAAAACACAAUUUUUUUAAAAAAAAUUCAUUAAACCCAAAUCUGGUGUUGUACUCAGAGCCGCUGGUGUGAAUCAAAACCCCAAACUAUGAGGUUGUCAUCCAAAACGAAUCCGAUUUAGACCCUAAGCGGUUUGGCCUGGUCCUUCUACGGCGUUGUCGUGGCCGCUGUCACGGCCUUCAAAUGCUCCACCAUGAUCAACUGCAAGAAGUCAUCGACAUCAUCACCCAACAAAUCAAAGGGACUCAGCUUCGACGACGAGUCCCCAUCGAAAUCCCACCCCCUCCAUAACGCUCCGCCAUCGAGCGCUUCCGCCUCCGCUACAUGAACCCCAACUACCUCGCGGUGCCUCUUCCAUUGCGACAUUAUUUUGAUGAUGAAGCUCAACGACAUGAAGCGCAUGAUACAGACCUGGCAUAAAUCUUGAUUGGGAAGCACAUGGAUCCAGAUCUGGCACGAAUCUCAUUUGGAGGAGGCCGACGGCGGAGCGCCACCACUGUGUCGCCAUAAUCGUUUUCUUAAUCUUCCUAGCUUUAUGUAAGGUUGGCACCGCUCAAGGAAAGUGGAAAAGGUUUUUAGGAAUGCAUUUUUUUAGGAAGGUUAAAUUACCCAUUUGGUCUCUAUAGUUUCAUGAUUCUUACUUUUUUAGUCCUUUUAGUUUCAAAGUGGUUUUUUUAGUUCCUAUAGUUUACAUUAUAAUUCUCUUUUAG